RNAcentral lists this ribosomal RNA (537 nucleotides) under Eulimnogammarus verrucosus. Its description in RNAcentral is "SSU rRNA". It matches the Rfam family "Eukaryotic small subunit ribosomal RNA", at positions 72 to 527 of the family's 1831-position model. Lineage: Eukaryota; Metazoa; Arthropoda; Malacostraca; Amphipoda; Eulimnogammaridae. The record is from RNAcentral.
GUUCACACGGCGAGACCGCGGACGGCUCAUUAAAUCAGUCGUGGUCCAAAUGGGCCAGUGCAAAUCCUACUUGGAUAACUGUGGUAAUUCCAGAGCUAAUACAUGCAACUGAUAUCCCGAAGGCGGUGUUUGGGCUUGCUUGCCUUGCGCUGCGCUGCUCUGACGGAUGCUUUUAUUAGACCAAGCCGCUGAGGACUUGAGGGUUCGCGCUCUCUUGUCUGACUCGUGUGAUGGUGACUCUGGAUAACCAAAUUCUGACAAGCGCACGUACUUCUCUUCUGAGCGAGACGGCGCUGCCACUUUCGAGUGUCUGCCUUAUCAGCUAUCAACCGUUCGUUAUGCGCGACCGAUGGCUUUGACGGGUAACGGGGAAUCAGGGUUCGAUUCCGGAGAGGCAGCCUGAGAGACGGCUACCACGUCCAAGGACGGCAGCAGGCACGCAAAUUACCCAAUCCCAGCAAAUGGGGGAGGUAGUGACGAAAUCUAACGAUGCGGGCGCCCUUUCUGGGGCCCCGCAAUCGGAAUGGGCACUUUCUA